Anguilla anguilla (European eel) is the source of this 1305-nucleotide long non-coding RNA. RefSeq lists it as uncharacterized. The transcript has 6 exons. The record is from RefSeq and is a predicted model, not a curated record. Lineage: Eukaryota; Metazoa; Chordata; Actinopteri; Anguilliformes; Anguillidae.
GAGAGAGAGCAGAAAGGCUGCACAGAUAGCGCUGCAGAAUGCGGUGUCCAGCAGACCGCUUUGUCUCCUGACCUGGGGGUGCAUGUGUCAGGGAUGCUUAUCUCGAAACAUCGGCUUUGUUGUCAUACGACUGGGAACAUUUCGUCUUACAUGUGUCUUACCCAUGCCCCGGCCAGACGGAGCGCAGCGUCCCAUCCGUCAGGGCCGACAGUAUCAAUCGCACACCUGCAGCAGGAGGGCUUUCUGCACGCAGGCUAAGCAAACAGGAAAUCACCAGGAACAAAUAUUCCUGCGCACACCUGUGCCAGAAACACAACUCCGGUUUCCUGUGUCAGUGGCCAAACACCUUUGACGGGACUGGGCGCAGCAGGUUGGCGGGGGUGUCUGAGGCCUCUCGCCGCGGCCGCCGCGCCCUUGACGGACGAGCGGUUCGAUGAGACGGUAAAAUACGGCGAGGGGCGCUGCCGGUGCCGCCAGCCUCCUCUGACGCCUGUUUCAGCCCGAGCUGCAGCCUGGAAACACACUCUUCUGUUCUCCCAGACACCAGCAACUGCAGCACUGUGGGCUAGCUGUGCGUAACUGUGUCCCGUCACAAAGCUCCAGAAUGCAGAGAAGGUUCCAUUACCUAACUGUUACCGACCGGGAGGCAGCUCCGGUUUUGGAGAUUUCAUGCAGCUGACAAUUUCUGGUUCUCAGAACAUUCCCAGAAUGUUGGAAAAGUUAGAGCAAACAUUUGUCCACAUUUGUGUAAGCCCGGAGGUGCCAAGGGGCUGAUGUAGUUCUGUAUAGCCCUGACACAUGUACUCCUUAUGACAUUAUGGCUUCCACCUGCUCCCCAGUAUAGAGCUAUGCCAAAGAGCUCAAGGGCAGAGUGUUCAUAGAGUGGAGCUGCACCAGAGAGCUCAGAGACAGAGAGUUUCUGUUGUGUGGUGCUGCACCAGACAGCUCAGGGGCAGACAGUUUCCUUAGUGUGGAGCUGCACCAGACGGCUCAGAGACUGACAGUUCCCACUGUGGAGCUGCACCAUAGAGCUCAGGAGCAGACUGUUUCCAUAGUUUGGAGUUGCACCAGCAAGCUCAGAAACCAAAAGAGUCCCCAUUGUGGAUCUGUGCAAGAUAAUUCAGAGACUAGGACAGUUCACAGGGUGGAGCUGCACUGGAGAGCUCAUAUGCAUGGAGAAUCCACAGCAAAGAGCUACACCAGAGAGUUCACAUACAGCAUAGAGCUCCAAGGUGGAGAACGCCAACAGCAAGGGCUAAAUGCAAGCCACCGCAGCCAUACUCCUGGCCCUAUGUCCAAUGAGAA